AGCGGCGGACGGGUGAGUAACACGUGGGCAACCUGCCUGUAAGACUGGGAUAACUCCGGGAAACCGGAGCUAAUACCGGAUACUAUGUCAAACCGCAUGGUUUGACAUUCAAAGACGGUUUCGGCUGUCACUUACAGAUGGGCCCGCGGCGCAUUAGCUAGUUGGUGAGGUAAUGGCUCACCAAGGCGACGAUGCGUAGCCGACCUGAGAGGGUGAUCGGCCACACUGGGACUGAGACACGGCCCAGACUCCUACGGGAGGCAGCAGUAGGGAAUCUUCCGCAAUGGACGAAAGUCUGACGGAGCAACGCCGCGUGAGUGAUGAAGGUUUUCGGAUCGUAAAACUCUGUUGUCAGGGAAGAACAAGUGCCGGAGUAACUGCCGGCGCCUUGACGGUACCUGACCAGAAAGCCACGGCUAACUACGUGCCAGCAGCCGCGGUAAUACGUAGGUGGCAAGCGUUGUCCGGAAUUAUUGGGCGUAAAGCGCGCGCAGGCGGUUUCUUAAGUCUGAUGUGAAAGCCCCCGGCUCAACCGGGGAGGGUCAUUGGAAACUGGGAAACUUGAGUGCAGAAGAGGAGAGUGGAAUUCCACGUGUAGCGGUGAAAUGCGUAGAGAUGUGGAGGAACACCAGUGGCGAAGGCGACUCUCUGGUCUGUAACUGACGCUGAGGCGCGAAAGCGUGGGGAGCGAACAGGAUUAGAUACCCUGGUAGUCCACGCCGUAAACGAUGAGUGCUAAGUGUUAGAGGGUUUCCGCCCUUUAGUGCUGCAGCUAACGCAUUAAGCACUCCGCCUGGGGAGUACGGUCGCAAGACUGAAACUCAAAGGAAUUGACGGGGGCCCGCACAAGCGGUGGAGCAUGUGGUUUAAUUCGAAGCAACGCGAAGAACCUUACCAGGUCUUGACAUCCUUUGCCACUUCUAGAGAUAGAAGGUUCCUCUUCGGGGGACAAAGUGACAGGUGGUGCA
This 968-nucleotide ribosomal RNA is filed under the name uncultured prokaryote. RNAcentral's name for it is "bacterial SSU rRNA". It matches the Rfam family "Bacterial small subunit ribosomal RNA", at positions 94 to 1045 of the family's 1533-position model. The record is from RNAcentral.